UGCUUUGCGCAGUGGCAGUAUCAUAGCCAACAAGGUUUAUCCGAGGCACAAUUAUUGCUAAUUAAAAACAGUGUCUUGUCCCCACAGCUUUGCCAUAGCUCUGUCAUAAUUGAAGAUGUGUAAUUCUAGUCUGUCCAUCAGUGUU
Molecule: small nuclear RNA, 145 nt
Organism: Talpa occidentalis (Iberian mole)
Lineage: Eukaryota; Metazoa; Chordata; Mammalia; Eulipotyphla; Talpidae
Product: U4 spliceosomal RNA
Exons: 1
Source: RefSeq, a predicted model, not a curated record